Molecule: ribosomal RNA, 252 nt
Filed under: uncultured bacterium
Lineage: Bacteria
Description: partial 16S ribosomal RNA
Rfam family: Bacterial small subunit ribosomal RNA
Source: RNAcentral
UACGUAGGGGGCAAGCGUUGUCCGGAAUCAUUGGGCGUAAAGAGCGCGUAGGCGGCCCUGUAAGUCCGCUGUGAAAGUCAAGGGCUCAACCCUUGGAUGCCGGUGGAUACUGCAGGGCUAGAGUCCGGAAGAGGCGAGUGGAAUUCCUGGUGUAGCGGUGAAAUGCGCAGAUAUCAGGAGGAACACCGAGGGCGAAGGCAGCUCGCUGGGACGGUACGGACGCUGAGGAGCGAAAGCAUGGGAGCGAACAGG